RNAcentral lists this transfer RNA (87 nucleotides) under Candidatus Omnitrophota bacterium. RNAcentral's name for it is "Candidatus Omnitrophica bacterium (aquatic metagenome) tRNA-Leu". It matches the Rfam family "tRNA". From Rfam's summary of the family: Transfer RNA (tRNA) molecules are approximately 80 nucleotides in length. Their secondary structure includes four short double-helical elements and three loops (D, anti-codon, and T loops). Lineage: Bacteria; Pseudomonadati; Candidatus Omnitrophota. The record is from RNAcentral.
GCCGAAGUGGUGAAACUGGCAAACACGCGGCGUUCAGGGCGCCGUGAGCUUAUGCUCUUGGGGGUUCGACUCCCCCCUUCGGCACCA